Rhopilema esculentum is the source of this 2461-nucleotide non-coding RNA. The record is from RefSeq and is a predicted model, not a curated record. Lineage: Eukaryota; Metazoa; Cnidaria; Scyphozoa; Rhizostomeae; Rhizostomatidae.
UUGUUAAAAUAAGCAGGUUUGUGUUUUUCUUCGGUCGAGGAAAUGAAUAAGAUUACUAUUGGCACCUAGAACCACUAGAUACCACUAAAGCUAAAAUACAAACCAUUAAUUCCUUUCGGAAUGAAUAAGGAAAAAAUAAUUCCUACUUGAUCAAGCUUCAUUGAAAUGUUUUAAUAGGUUGCUGCCAAAGGGACUGGCGUUAUUUUAAGGUGCCUCACGUGAUCUUGUAUUUUGGGCAGAUUGAACUUAACGCACCAGUCCAAAGAGCUUUGUCUUGAAUGGAUUGGAUUAGACAUAAACAAGGAGGUCCAGCGUGUUGCACAAUUCAUUCAGAAUGGUGGCCAUAGAGUAAAGGUGACGAAUGAUGAUGAAAAGGAUGAUGAUGUAACGUCUGUGAUGAUAACGUCUAUGAAGAUGGCACAGAAUAGGGAAAAAGUUCUUUUUCCUUAUUCUGUGAUGAUGAUGAAAGCUGUGCCAUCACCUUUGAUGCAUCUCAUUUUCCUAGAACAAAACAUUUAACUUCUUGUAUACUUUGUGCACGCAGGCUAGCACAUUGUCAACUUUGGCGAAUACCAUGAAAGGGCAAUGUGCUGAAAAAAAGGCCAAUGAAUGAGAAAAUCGAUGAAGAAAGGGAGGAGUUUAAGUUGAAAUGGGGCACCUUAAAAGCUUGCUGAAGGAAGGUUAGGUUGAGUGACCCUAUUGUUUCUUUUGCAAACGAAGAAACUAAAUUCAUUCUUGGCAGUCACUGAUCUAAACAAAUACUUUUUUUAGAUCAGUGUUGGCAGUACAGGAAUCAUGAAUACUAAUUUUUAGCCACCUCACUGGUUAUUAGUUCAAGAGCCUCGUUUUGAUAUGGAGAUAAGAGUUUUGAUAAAAACGUUUCGUUUGUUAUGUAAGCAUACAUUCUCCGUGAACAAGGUCUCUUUUACUUAAUAGCCACGACAAGGCACUUCAAGUCCAUUUUGUCUUCAAGCAUUGUUGCAUUUUACACUUUUUAGCAACGACGCAAGUCCUGCCAGAAAAAUGGCGCAUGCGUAAACAUAUAUUUCAUUAAAAUUGUUCUAAUUAUUCGCCCUCUACCUCCACCCUAAAACAGAUGCUGCGACACUGCACUUUCCCAAUAGAAUCUUAGGAAAAAAGGUCAAGGGGGGGGGGGCACAGAAAUCUUAUUUUUUCCUCGAUUAAACCAUUGAACCCAAGGCCUCCUUCGAACGAUCCUCCGUCUUUUGACCACAGAAUGUGACACUCCUGGCUGUAAGGCUCCUCGCAAGCUAAAAAUUCCUUCAAAAACCGAAAAUAAGUGCUCGAGAUACGUAAGCGAAAUUCCCAAAUCCCACAGAAUUCGAAAGUGCCACAUAAAGACAGCUAUGUCUGGAAUCUGAUGAUAGGGGAAGGGGGGAUGGGUGGGGGGAUUUAAGUUGACUGAAACAUAGAUUGAACAUUAAAAACAUUCCUCGUACAAGAGAGGUCUGAGCCACUUGUACAAGGACACCUGAACUUGAAGGGAAAUAAGCUGUGGGUGUGCCCGCUGAUCUAAAAGCGGACUAGCUUCCUCUUAGAUCAAUGAGAUUUAAACAAAUAAAGUAGUGUAUAAGGGACUUAUUUCAAAUUUGAUAAAGGCAAGGCGUGGAUUGGUGACUCAAACAAACAAAAUGUUGCCAGUCACUGGUGACUGGAGUUUCAAAAUGGAACAAAACAUUGUGUAGAUAGCAGAAAACCACGAAAAGGUCGAGGUGUUUGGGCGUCAUUGGUACGUCAUUCGCAGGCUUGAUUCAAAAGAAAAGCACAGAUUAACUGGAUCUUAACUGAAGUUAGAUAGACUUCAUUUUCAGUUUAACAAUUGUGGCCUGACCCGUAACAAAAUCUUAAAUGCGUUGGCUGAAUUUAUGCUUCAAUCAACAACAUGAAAAAGGAACAUUGUGGUUAGUUAUGAAUGUCAAAGAGCAGUGUUGAGUGACCAGAAGUGACGAGUGUCACAAUCGCAAGAAACCACGAAUCGGGAAGAAUCCUAGAUAAUCUUAGACCGAGGAUUUAUACUGUUGGAUUAAAUUGAUGGAAACUUGACCAAGAUUCUGUGGAAUGGGUAAUUUAUGUUGUCAAGUUUUAUAAUCAAAGCGUGAAUGUAGUCACCAUUUAUGAGUCAACAUACCUCAUAUGCAACAGCUGUACAUAGAAGCCAUGCAUAACAGGGAGUAAGAAAAUGAGAAGAAAGAGGGGUGCCACAUCAAAGAGCUGGAGUAAAAUACGGACUACAGAAAAAAUGGACUCGUAAAUCAAUGAGACAGCUAGUAACAAAGGAACCAAUAAUAAUUCACCUUACGUCACCCGUGUCGGUCUCCCAAGUGCAUGCGGAGAAAUCAAGACAUUUGACGGCAACGCUACUGGAUGUAGAUACGAAACCAGUUGCUCCUAAAAAAGCCAAGUUAGGACACUUAGUAAACAAUGGGAGAAAACUACAAUA